UGCAUUUGAGCUCUUUCUGGAAAACCGUGGCAUUACAUUUUUUGUCUAUUAAUUCUCCUAUCUUAAUCUCCUCUGCUGUUCUAUAGGCUCUAAAGGAAAUUUCCACUGGAAACCUGUUCUCUCGUGUGUGGUGGUUUGGUCCAUUCCAAUACUUUGAGAGUAACGUACGUGGCAUUGUGCCUCGAAACUACCAGCUGCCAUUCUUGUUGCGAACAAUGACGUGCACCCGGGUUAAGUACAGUAAGCUGGACUCGCGUGAGUCAUGACCCAUGGCUCCUGAUUGGCUGGAGCUCUAUGAGACUCUAAAAGAGAAACUACUCUUCCCGUCAAGCCCUGCAAAACUGGUUGAGCACUGUGACGCUUAUACACAGAUCAUUUUGUAGUAUUUGAAGCAUUUCAAUGUCCCUAGCAGUAUCGUCCAUUGGUCUAGCAAACAGAAUACAGAAGAAAUAUAGGAGGGACUAGUUUUGACGUUUUUCCAUCAGGAUAUAGUGUUCAUUUAACAAAACACUGCUCAAACUUUGUCACGACUGAAGGGCUGUUCAUACAGGACAUGUUUUUGCUUUCAAAAAAGGUAUCCGUAGUGGAAUGAAACGAAAUGUUUUAAUAGUUUAACCGUUUUUAACAUGCAAAACGCAGCGAUUGUGGUCAGAGAUGUCCGUGUAGGGUAUGUUUACAUAGUAAAACAACUAAAAGUGGUGCAGAUGUGUGCCAGAACGCAUCUUGUGUGACUGGCCUCAAGCGUGUGUUUCGUUAACUCUCUUAAUGCACCAAAGUUUUAAUCAUGAGGUUAGCUCAGUCUCUUACUGCAAAAUAGUUUUCAUAAAGAAUCAAAGCUAGACUUUGGAAACCAUCCUAAUAUUAAGGAAAGUCAGAAAAGAUUUAUUUAUACAGACUGAAUUUUUACAAUAUUACGCUAAUGAUGUAAGUGUGUGUAGAUGGGGUAAUCUGUACAUUAAAUAACAUGUAAUAUUGUUGUAUACUGUGCAACAUAACAUGUUCAUCUGUCAAAGUAAAUUACCCUAAUAUGUGUAGCUUUUAACUAUAAAAGUUUGGUAAAAGAAGGUAUUCGAGGGCUUCUUCUUUAAUGUGAAGUGUGUCUGCUCAAAAUGUGCUUCUGCUAGCCAAAAGGAAUCAUCAAGUCUCUUGCUAAAUAGUCGGAAGUGUUGUAAAUGUUCUGGAGCAAGAACCAAAUAAAAACUGGUGUUAUUUGUGACAGGUAGACUGAAUGACAGGCCUGUAAAACGACUGAAUGAAUCCCUGGAGUGUGAAUGUACAACAGUUUAGAACUGAAAGGAUAAUCAGAAGCACUUUAAAAUGAUGCCCAGCCACACACUUCUCCAACACACUGCACUUCAGUGACCUGCACGCUAAUAAACCCGGAGGGCAAAAACACCAUUUUAUUAUUCCCCCAAGUAACAGCCUGACUGAUGAUGAUGGUUUAAUGCUUUGUCUUUCAAAUGAAACUGACAGUGGAAUCAGACCUGUGAAUGUGCGACGUACCAAUAUGCAGCCAAAAUGUAACAUUUAGUGUGGAUAUGGAUGGCUGCUAUAUGCCACAUAAUUAUAUUUGUUAAUUUUUUUUUUUUUUCUCGACACCAUGGAAAAGUCAUAAAAACCAGUGUGGGGAUAUAGAAGAUUUGAAGUUCUAAAUAAUAAAGUGUUUAUUUAAUUGGGAAAUCCAGAUUGUUAAGCUGUUCAUUUAGCGUUGUGUUACACUGCCAACUGAUUGACAUGAGAAGUGAACAGAGUGUUGGCUUAUGACUAAAUGCAUGUUGUAUUUUGUUGUUGUUUUGUUUCCUUUUCAUUGUCAAUCAUAGAUCCAGCAUUGUCAAAUUACUUUGUCGAAUGUAAACCUGUGCUAAACAAUCUCUUAAUAUGAGACGGGAGUGGGGCAGAUAUUGAAUAAAAAAUUUAAUAUUCUGUAUUGUCUGUAUUUUUUCCCAUUACUGUAUUCUGUAUUCUGUAUUGUUCUUCAUUAGCCCUUACUGCCUGACAAUGACUUUUUAGAUGUAGAUGGUUUAGAUCUAGUCAUAGCAUCACUCAUCCUGAGAGUAUAUUGAGUGGAUGUUGACUAUUCCACAAGUAUAAUAGCAAGUAUAGUGUUUUUGAAAUAUUCAUGAAGUAAGCCAUAGUCGGACAUAUUUAAUGAUUCUUUAUAUUAAUAUUUUUAUCAUGUUUGUCAUUUUGUUCUUUUGCUGCCAGAUUUACUAACGGCUUGCACCAGCACAAACCUCUUGGCAAUAAAAAACUACCAUCGGGAUUUA
This is a long non-coding RNA of Sinocyclocheilus anshuiensis, 2267 nucleotides long. RefSeq lists it as uncharacterized. The transcript has 2 exons. The record is from RefSeq and is a predicted model, not a curated record. NCBI's taxonomy places the organism in Eukaryota, Metazoa, Chordata, Actinopteri, Cypriniformes, Cyprinidae.